UUGCAAUCAAUGAUCGAUGCUAUAAAUUGGUUCGAUUAACAUGGAAUACGGGUUGGUUGUGAGGGUCGGAAGAAUUAGGAAAAGAGACGAAAUCGAAGAUCGAAUUAGAAGGUCUGAUUCUGUUCUAAAAUCCGCUCCAACAACGGAAAGGCUUCGGUCGUGAAGUUCGAAUUCGUAACAUCAGUGCGUUUAUGCAUAACGAAAAGGUGCCAUAAACCAUAUCGCACAUCAAAUCGUUUUGUUUUAGAAGCGUAUCGUCGAAUGGAUCUAUAUAUUUUAGAGGGAAAAAGUAAAAACACGGCCACAAAUUUUAUAUAUAAUAGAGAUGUCAGUUGUUUAUAGAAGCAUGCGAACGGUUACUUAUGGUUGAGCGUAGUAGGAACGCAACGGUUGGGCAUGGUAGGAAGUUUGGUUGAUGGAUCGUACUUACUGGAUGUACCAUACCACACGUACAAGCUCGAUGUUUACGGAUGGCGUUCGAAAUUUUCUUAGGGUUGCCGAAACAAAUCGAUUGAAUAGUGGAAGUGGAUUGAUUUGUUGCCCUUGUACAAUUUGUAAAAAUUUCCAAAGAUUUAACGAUAUCAAAGACAUACAGUUUCAUUUGAAUACACGUGGUUUUAUGCCUAGAUACACAUGUUGGUCAAUGCAUGGGGAAUCACUUACUAACACUAGCACAACGUCAAUCAAUCUAGAUGAUGAUAAUAGGGAGAACAAUGAUUCAAAUAUUGAUGACGAUAAUGACCAUUUUAAUGACCCCAAUGACAACUUAAAUGAAAUGUUUCAUGAUUUAGAGACUAAUAUUGGUGCGGAUGAUCAAGAAAAAUUAC
Molecule: long non-coding RNA, 827 nt
Filed under: Helianthus annuus (common sunflower)
Lineage: Eukaryota; Viridiplantae; Streptophyta; Magnoliopsida; Asterales; Asteraceae
Description: sRNA HanXRQr2_Chr09g0363451
Source: RNAcentral